GUAGGGAAUAUUGGACAAUGGGGGCAACCCUGAUCCAGCGACGCCGCGUGAGUGACGAAGGCCUUCGGGUCGUAAAGCUCUGUUGCAAGGGAAAAACAAAAUGAUGGUACCUUGCUAGAAAGGAUCGGCUAACUUCGUGCCAGCAGCCGCGGUAAGACGAGGGAUCCUAGCGUUGUUCGGAAUUAUUGGGCGUAAAGCGGGUGUAGGUGGCUUUGUAAGUCAGGUGUGAAAGCCUGGGGCUUAACCCCAGAAGUGCAUUUGAUACUGCGAAGCUUGAGUGCUGGAGAGGCUACUAGAAUUCUUGGUGUAGUGGUGAAAUACGUAGAUAUCAAGAGGAAUACCGGAGGCGAAGGCGGGUAGCUGGCCAGACACUGACACUCAGACCCGAAAGCGUGGGGAUCGAACAGGAUUAGAUACCCUAGUAGUCC
Molecule: ribosomal RNA, 428 nt
Filed under: uncultured bacterium
Lineage: Bacteria
Description: partial 16S ribosomal RNA
Rfam family: Bacterial small subunit ribosomal RNA
Source: RNAcentral